Molecule: ribosomal RNA, 253 nt
Filed under: uncultured bacterium
Lineage: Bacteria
Description: partial 16S ribosomal RNA
Rfam family: Bacterial small subunit ribosomal RNA
Source: RNAcentral
GACAGAGGGUGCGAGCGUUGUUCGGAAUUACUGGGCGUAAAGCGCAUGUAGGCGGCCGCGCAAGUCGGGCGUGAAAUCCCACGGCUCAACCGUGGAAGUGCACUCGAAACUGCGCAGCUAGAGUCCUGGAGAGGAAGGUGGAAUGCUUGGUGUAGAGGUGAAAUUCGUAGAUAUCAAGCGGAACACCGGUGGCGAAGGCGGCCUUCUGGACAGUGACUGACGCUGAGAUGCGAAAGCGUGGGGAGCAAACAGG